UUUUUUUCUGUCAUCGUCAAUGAUCAGUAAUAUCCAGAAUAUAAUGUCUGGAUGAUCAUUCAACUUCUUUGUUGGAUUUUUUGGGUUUAGGUUAAAUCUCUGCCACUAGAGGAAGAGGAAAAAGAAACAGAACUAGACAAAUCUCAACAGGCAUAAGUACUUCAGAACUGGAGCAGAAGUUCAUGAACAUUAAGAGACAUAGUAAGAUCAUUACCACCUGCAAGUUCAAGAACUAAAAGGCCAGCAAGAAGUGCAUCACCAGAGUCAGGAUUACUAAGAAGGGAAGGACAGAGAAAGGUUACCUAGAGACAAUAACGAAGGGGACAGGAGAAAUGAACACCGUCCGGAGCGUACGGCCUAUCAGAAUGAUGGGUAUGGAUAGGUGACUGAUUACCGGAAUAUUGACAAAGCAUACAGGAAAAGUGAGGGUGAUAGUCAUCACAAUAUCAGUAGUAUGAUUUAAUGAUUCCAUAAAAUAUACUGCUACUGGCAGCAAGCAAUGUGCUUUUCUCA
This is a long non-coding RNA of Papaver somniferum (opium poppy), 513 nucleotides long. RefSeq lists it as uncharacterized. The record is from RefSeq and is a predicted model, not a curated record. Lineage: Eukaryota; Viridiplantae; Streptophyta; Magnoliopsida; Ranunculales; Papaveraceae. The transcript is spliced from 3 exons.